UAUGUACAAAUGUUGCGCUGCC
Molecule: microRNA, 22 nt
Filed under: Caenorhabditis elegans
Lineage: Eukaryota; Metazoa; Nematoda; Chromadorea; Rhabditida; Rhabditidae
Description: cel-miR-784-3p
Gene: cel-miR-784-3p
Source: miRBase by way of RNAcentral